UACGUAGGGGGCAAGCGUUGUCCGGAUUUAUUGGGCGUAAAGAGCGUGUAGGCGGCCAUACAGGUCAGCUGUGAAACUCGAGGCUCAACCUCGAGACGUCGGUUGAAACCGUAUGGCUAGAGUCCGGAAGAGGAGAGUGGAAUUCCCGGUGUAGCGGUGAAAUGCGCAGAUAUCGGGAAGAACACCCAUGGCGAAGGCAGCUCUCUGGGACGGUACUGACGCUGAGACGCGAAAGCGUGGGGAGCGAACAGG
This 252-nucleotide ribosomal RNA is filed under the name uncultured bacterium. Its description in RNAcentral is "partial 16S ribosomal RNA". It matches the Rfam family "Bacterial small subunit ribosomal RNA", at positions 524 to 776 of the family's 1533-position model. The record is from RNAcentral.